Molecule: small RNA, 114 nt
Filed under: Marmota monax (woodchuck)
Lineage: Eukaryota; Metazoa; Chordata; Mammalia; Rodentia; Sciuridae
Source: RNAcentral
GCUGGGUGUGGUGGCGCAUGCCUGUAAUCCCAGUGGCUUGGGAGACCCAGACAGGAGAAUCACCAGCCUCAGCAACUUUGAGGCACUAAGCAACUCAGUGAGACCCUGUCUCUA